Molecule: ribosomal RNA, 437 nt
Filed under: uncultured Actinomycetales bacterium
Lineage: Bacteria; Bacillati; Actinomycetota; Actinomycetes; Actinomycetales
Description: bacterial SSU rRNA
Rfam family: Bacterial small subunit ribosomal RNA
Source: RNAcentral
CGGGGUGCAGCAGUGGGGAAUAUUGGGCAAUGGAGGAAACUCUGACCCAGCGACGCCGCGUGCGGGAUGAAGGCCUUCGGGUUGUAAACCGCUUUCAGCAGGGAAGAAGCGAAAGUGACGGUACCUGCAGAAGAAGCACCGGCUAACUAUGUGCCAGCAGCCGCGGUAAUACAUAGGGUGCAAGCGUUGUCCGGAAUUAUUGGGCGUAAAGAGCUCGUAGGUGGUUCGUCACGUCGGAUGUGAAAAUCUGGGGCUCAACCCCAGACCUGCAUUCGAUACGGGCGAUCUAGAGUGUGGUAAGGGAGACUGGAAUUCCUGGUGUAGCGGUGGAAUGCGCAGAUAUCAGGAGGAACACCAAUGGCGAAGGCAGGUCUCUGGGCCAUUACUGACACUGAGGAGCGAAAGCGUGGGGAGCGAACAGGAUUAGAUACCCUCGU